GACGAACGCUGGCGGCGUGCCUAACACAUGCAAGUCUCGGGAGAAAGAGGUAGCAAUACUUCGAGUAAACCGGCGCAAGGGUGAGUAACACGUAGGUAACCUGCCUUCAGGACGGGGACAACUCCGAGAAAUCGGGGCUAAUACCCGAUAACGCAGCGGCACCGCAUGGUGACAGUUGUUAAAUGCUAAGGCGCCUGAAGAUGGGCCUGCGCCCCAUUAGGUAGUUGGCGGAGUAAAAGCCCACCAAGCCGACGAUGGGUAGCUGGUCUGAGAGGACGAUCAGCCACACUGGAACUGAGACACGGUCCAGACUCCUACGGGAGGCAGCAGUGAGGAAUAUUGCGCAAUGCCCGCAAGGGUGACGCAGCGACGCCGCGUGGAGGAUGAAGGCCCUCUGGGUCGUAAACUCCUGUUGAGAGGGAAGAACG
RNAcentral lists this ribosomal RNA (428 nucleotides) under uncultured bacterium. Its description in RNAcentral is "bacterial SSU rRNA". It matches the Rfam family "Bacterial small subunit ribosomal RNA", at positions 28 to 451 of the family's 1533-position model. The record is from RNAcentral.